This is a non-coding RNA of Actinobacteria bacterium 13_1_20CM_3_68_10, 74 nucleotides long. The record is from Rfam. Lineage: Bacteria; Bacillati; Actinomycetota.
GGCGGCGUAGCUCAGCUGGUUAGAGCAGCGGAAUCAUAAUCCGAAGGUCGAAGGUUCGAGUCCUUCCGCCGCUA